CAGUCGCCGCGGUAAUACGUAGGGUGCAAGCGUUAAUCGGAAUUACUGGGCGUAAAGCGUGCGCAGGCGGUUUGUUAAGACAGAUGUGAAAUCCCCGGGCUUAACCUGGGAACUGCAUUUGUGACUGGCAAGCUAGAGUCUGGCAGAGGGGGGUGGAAUUCCGCGUGUAGCAGUGAAAUGCGUAGAUAUGCGGAGGAACACCGAUGGCGAAGGCAGCCCCCUGGGCCAACACUGACGCUCAUGCACGAAAGCGUGGGGAGCAAACAGGAUUAGAUACCCGCGUAGUCCCUGUCUCUUAUAA
RNAcentral lists this ribosomal RNA (301 nucleotides) under uncultured bacterium. Its description in RNAcentral is "partial 16S ribosomal RNA". It matches the Rfam family "Bacterial small subunit ribosomal RNA", at positions 509 to 809 of the family's 1533-position model. The record is from RNAcentral.